Molecule: ribosomal RNA, 263 nt
Filed under: uncultured bacterium
Lineage: Bacteria
Description: partial 16S ribosomal RNA
Rfam family: Bacterial small subunit ribosomal RNA
Source: RNAcentral
CACGUAGGGGGCGAGCGUUGUCCGGAAUCACUGGGCGUAAAGGGCGUGUAGGCGGCUGAUUAAGUCAGUUGUAAAAGGCUGCGGCUUAACCGCAGAAGUGCAAUUGAAACUGGUCAGCUUGAGGGCAAGAGAGGAAAGCGGAAUUCCUAGUGUAGCGGUGAAAUGCGUAGAUAUUAGGAGGAACACCAGUGGCGAAGGCGGCUUUCUGGCUUGACCCUGACGCUGAGGCGCGAAAGCGUGGGGAGCAAACAGGAUUAGAUACC